AGUGAACGCUGGCGGUAGGCCUAACACAUGCAAGUCGAACGGCAGCACAGUAAGAGCUUGCUCUUACGGGUGGCGAGUGGCGGACGGGUGAGGAAUACAUCGGAAUCUACUUUUUCGUGGGGGAUAACGUAGGGAAACUUACGCUAAUACCGCAUACGACCUACGGGUGAAAGCAGGGGAUCUUCGGACCCUGCGCGAUUGAAUGAGCCGAUGUCGGAUUAGCUAGUUGGCGGGGUAAAGGCCCACCAAGGCGACGAUCCGUAGCUGGUCUGAGAGGAUGAUCAGCCACACUGGAACUGAGACACGGUCCAGACUCCUACGGGAGGCAGCAGUGGGGAAUAUUAGACAAUGGGCGCAAGCCUGAUCCAGCCAUACCGCGUGUGUGAAGAAGGCCUUCGGGUUGUAAAGCCCUUUUGUUGGGAAAGAAAAGCAGCAGGUUAAUACCCCGCUGUUCUGACGGUACCCAAAGAAUAAGCACCGGCUAACUUCGUG
RNAcentral lists this ribosomal RNA (492 nucleotides) under uncultured bacterium. Its description in RNAcentral is "partial 16S ribosomal RNA". It matches the Rfam family "Bacterial small subunit ribosomal RNA", at positions 29 to 507 of the family's 1533-position model. The record is from RNAcentral.